UUGGCCAGUUUGUUUCGUUAUCAGUUUCCUACCGACUGCACUAUAAGUGAAUUCAGUAUUAUCAAGACGAUGGCGGAGAUCGAGUACUCUGAAGAAAUUGACGACGUCUCCGAUGAAGAUUACGAAAUCAUUAGAAGAUAUCAAGAAGCGGAUGCGCAGUUUCAAAAACAUCCGCCAUUUUUGUCCCAGUUUACAGAGUCCACCGAUCGCGUUAGAAGUUGGCUCAACGAUAAAGGCAGAGAAUUUAACAUUGGUAAAAUAAUCGCGAUGUCCGAGGGUGAUAAUUACGAUUUCAACAGAUCCACCGGAUGCGACGAAUUCUUGGUCCAGUAUCACGCGAUUUCAAAUAAAUUGAAAAAACGAUUUUUGAGAAAACCAAAUGUCUCUGAAGCCUGCGAUCAGUUUAGUGCGUUAGCGACGCAGUGCGAACAGAAGGAACUCUGGCAGUAUGCCGGUCUUUGCUGGCUCGCGGCAGCUCGAUGUCAAGGAACAUUGGGCAAUGCUAGCACAGAGGCCAGUUUGCUGGCUAGAGCCGGCAGACAGUUUCUAACAGCGGAGAAAAAGAACGUAAUGAUCGGAUGCCCUGCUCCGGGUCAAGAGAAUGUGCAGGCAGCUGUGAGUUGUUUCGGCCAUUCUUUGGCUCGCACUCAAAAUCAGCCAGGAUCUAGUAUGGCGGCGGCUGGCUUGGCACUGGAAUUGGCUACUGCUUUGGGUUCAAGUCCUGCUGGUUCUCAGCAACUUCGUAGAGCGAUAAGCAUACAUGCGACACCGCAGUCGCUUGGCAUGCUUGCGUCAACUCAUAUUAAGCAGGGUGAUUACGUAACAGCUUUAAGCGUGCUUAGCGAAUUGGCAGAAUUAGUGGAAGCUAAUGUCGGAGGAGGAAAUACAGCCACUGGAAAUAACUGUGACAUAUUACACAGAUGCGAAGUGAGCAGAGUCCUACUGCUCCUCAUAUUACAACCGACACCGCAAAGACUAGCUCCGUCAUUGGCUCAACUGUUGGAAAAAUAUGCCUGGGUCGAAGAGAGCAGCAAUGCAGGUCCCGGGAUGAGUGAAGAUGAAAUGCUGUUGUUACAGUCUUUAGUACUGGCCUGCCAGUCUCAGGAUUAUCAAGCAUUGUUGGAACUGGAAGGCGAGUUAUGGCCGUAUUUAGAUACCGAGCAAAAAGAACUGCUGCGUAAGCUUGUGCAAACUUUGACAGCACGUUAAAUCUUGCAUAAACAUCGCUCGAUGUCCUACCUAUGGCGCCAACGUUUUCACCAAAUGUAUUUGUGCCGUUCCCACUGCCCCAGAGCCCGGCUAAUACGGUACCAAGACCCUCGGUACCGAUACCUCGAUUUAUCGCGUGGAGCGGAGGCGGUGGUGCUCCUGAAACGAAACGAAGUAAAUCAAAAGCAUUAUUGAACGAGUAUGAGCAACGUGGAGAGUUCCUAACUGCGUAAUUGAUUGGUCAACAUUUAUUUUGUUCGCAAUGCUACGUGUUUCGCACCUUUCCAAUAAGUGGAAGACGGACAAGCUGUCAAUCUGCUCACCGCACAUUCUAGAAGUCGUUGGAUAGUAACUGAUCGACUCAACUGUACAGGCCAAUACACCCGCCAACAUUCCUAGGACCCCCGCCAGACUCACUGUGGGUAGACCCCAUUGUCCGGGAUAAGGAAUCCUAAACCAGGACGAAUCUUGGAGAAUUUUUAUUUUCACAUCUGUGCGCGCCGGAUGCCCGGGCGGAAAUGUGUCGGUGGCUGUUAAAAUUCCACAUACAGCCCACAUUAUGGAUAUGGUCAAUAGAACCUGAAAGCGACGUAAGUCUGGCUCACGAAAAAAUCGACUACGGUAAAAAUGGCGAAGGUUCUUUUAGCUCAAAUCCUUCUCACCGGAAAAAGUUUGAACAAGUAGCACCAAACGAUUUGGAAACCACCAGUUUUCCGCCAAACUAUCAUAGGCACUUGUAAAUUCCCUAGGAGUUGGGAAUAUACGGUCAUCAUUAAGAUUGUUCUGGAAAAGAAAUGAUGAAAUUUAUUCACGCUCUGAUCAUUGUUAAACGAUGGUGAGUUCUCGUUCAGGACAAGUCGCCGAUACGGCGGUAUGACAAUUAAGUUUAUAUUACCCGGCGGCGAUGCCCCAGUGCUGAGAUGCUGCCGUUGCAGCGUUUUCAAAUAACGACAAUCCGACCAGAGAUACCGUAGGGACGAUUGUUAAAGGAGUAACAUACUUGAGCAUCGAUCCGAUGAUUCCUCGAGUUUUUCACACGAUCUCUCCUCUACACAUGGAUCAUUUGUAGCACGUAACGAGCAAUAAGCGUGUAUGCUGAAAAAAUUUGCGCCUUUACAAGAA
RNAcentral lists this unclassified non-coding RNA (2331 nucleotides) under Neodiprion lecontei (redheaded pine sawfly). Its description in RNAcentral is "40-kDa huntingtin-associated protein, transcript variant X5". Lineage: Eukaryota; Metazoa; Arthropoda; Insecta; Hymenoptera; Diprionidae. The record is from RNAcentral.